Long non-coding RNA from Schistocerca nitens (vagrant locust), 433 nucleotides. RefSeq lists it as uncharacterized. NCBI's taxonomy places the organism in Eukaryota, Metazoa, Arthropoda, Insecta, Orthoptera, Acrididae. The transcript is spliced from 3 exons. The record is from RefSeq and is a predicted model, not a curated record.
ACAGUUUAUAUGGUCAGACUGAUGUGAUUGUUUGAGAACACUUUAGUAAAAGAUGAAGAUGGCAACUGAGUAUUGUGAUCACCAGCUUCUUAUCUGCAAGCAGUAUUGAUAUUUUUGCAUCUGGCCAAAAGUGUCCCAUACCUGAGACGUCAGACACAUUAGAGGUUGGAGGUUCAAAACAAGCCAGUGGAAAAUGUGUAUUAUAUAAGUGCCAGAUGAAGGGUUCAAAUGCAGUUACCAUGUCCUAUUCAUGUGUGGUAAUUAAACCUGGAGAGGGAUGCACUGUCAAAGAGCAAGACGUGAGCUUACCAUUCCCAAAAUGCUGCCCAGUAACAAGAUGUACUAAAGGAUGAAAAUGAUGUGACCUGUGUCUGUUCAUAUUUUUCAUUUACAAUAAUGGUCAAAAUAUAACUAGAACUGUUAUAUUAUUUCU